This 319-nucleotide ribosomal RNA is filed under the name uncultured eukaryote. RNAcentral's name for it is "partial 18S ribosomal RNA". It matches the Rfam family "Eukaryotic small subunit ribosomal RNA", at positions 1470 to 1796 of the family's 1831-position model. The record is from RNAcentral.
CCCUUAGAUGUUCUGGGCUGCACGCGUGCUACAAUGGCGUUUCCAGCAAGUCUGCGAACCCGAGAGGGCCAGCGGAUCUUCGAAUUGGGGUCGUGAUCGGGACAGUCGAUUGCAAUUAUUUGACUCAAACGAGGAAUUCCUUGUAAUCGCGAUUCAUCAUAUCGCGCUGAAUACGUCCCUGCCCUUUGUACACACCGCCCGUCGCUCCUACCGAUUGAGCGAUCCGGUAAAUGUUUUGGAUUGGUGCCGGGGCGGCUAGCUGCCGGUCGCUACGAAAUUUUGUGAACCUUAUCGCUUAGAGGAAGGAAAAGUCGUAACA